UAGGAAGGCAGCAGUGGGGAAUAUUGCACAAUGGGCGCAAGCCUGAUGCAGCCAUGCCGCGUGUAUGAAAAAGGCCUUCGGGUUGUAAAGUACUUUCAGUCGUGAGGAAGGUGUUAAGGUUAAUAACCUUAGCAAUUGACGUUAGCGACAGAAGAAGCACCGGCUAACUCCGUGCCAGCAGCCGCGGUAAUACGGAGGGUGCGAGCGUUAAUCGGAAUUACUGGGCGUAAAGGGCACGCAGGCGGUUAAUUAAGUUGGAUGUGAAAUCCCCGGGCUUAACCUGGGAAUGGCAUUCAAGACUGGUUAGCUAGAGUCUUGUAGAGGGGGUAGAAUUCCAUGUGUAGCGGUGAAAUGCGUAGAGAUGUGGAGGAAUACCGGUGGCGAAGGCGGCCCCUGGACAAAGACUGACGCUCAUGUGCGAAAGCGUGGGGAGCAAACAGGGAUUAGAUACC
This 452-nucleotide ribosomal RNA is filed under the name uncultured bacterium. RNAcentral describes it as "bacterial SSU rRNA". It matches the Rfam family "Bacterial small subunit ribosomal RNA", at positions 341 to 786 of the family's 1533-position model. The record is from RNAcentral.